GGUAUGGUUCUUCGGAACCUGAGACCGGCGCACGGGUGCGUAACGCGUAUGCAAUCUACCUUUUACAGAGGGAUAGCCCAGAGAAAUUUGGAUUAAUACCUCAUAGUAUAUAGACUCGGCAUCGAGAUUAUAUUAAAGUCACAACGGUAAAAGAUGAGCAUGCGUCCCAUUAGCUAGUUGGUAAGGUAACGGCUUACCAAGGCUACGAUGGGUAGGGGUCCUGAGAGGGAGAUCCCCCACACUGGUACUGAGACACGGACCAGACUCCUACGGGAGGCAGCAGUGAGGAAUAUUGGACAAUGGGCGCAAGCCUGAUCCAGCCAUGCCGCGUGCAGGAUGACGGUCCUAUGGAUUGUAAACUGCUUUUAUACGAGAAGAAACACUCCGACGUGUCGGAGCUUGACGGUAUCGUAAGAAUAAGGAUCGGCUAACUCCGUGCCAGCAGCCGCGGUAAUACGGAGGAUCCAAGCGUUAUCCGGAAUCAUUGGGUUUAAAGGGUCCGUAGGCGGUUUAAUAAGUCAGUGGUGAAAGCCCAUCGCUCAACGGUGGAACGGCCAUUGAUACUGUUAAACUUGAAUUAUUAGGAAGUAACUAGAAUAUGUAGUGUAGCGGUGAAAUGCUUAGAGAUUACAUGGAAUACCAAUUGCGAAGGCAGGUUACUACUAAUAGAUUGACGCUGAUGGACGAAAGCGUGGGUAGCGAACAGGAUUAGAUAACCCUGGUAGUCCACGCCGUAAACGAUGGAUACUAGCUGUUGGAAGCAAUUUCAGUGGCUAAGCGAAAGUGAUAAGUAUCCCACCUGGGGAGUACGUUCGCAAGAAUGAAACUCAAAGGAAUUGACGGGGGCCCGCACAAGCGGUGGAGCAUGUGGUUUAAUUCGAUGAUACGCGAGGAACCUUACCAAGGCUUAAAUGUAGAUUGACCGUUUUGGAAACAGAACUUUCGCAAGACAAUUUACAAGGUGCUGCAUGGUUGUCGUCAGCUCGUGCCGUGAGGUGUCAGGUUAAGUCCUAUAACGAGCGCAACCCCUGUUGUUAGUUGCCAGCGAGUCAAGUCGGGAACUCUAACAAGACUGCCAGUGCAAACUGUGAGGAAGGUGGGGAUGACGUCAAAUCAUCACGGCCCUUACGCCUUGGGC
This 1138-nucleotide ribosomal RNA is filed under the name Flavobacterium sp. RNAcentral's name for it is "bacterial SSU rRNA". It matches the Rfam family "Bacterial small subunit ribosomal RNA", at positions 66 to 1214 of the family's 1533-position model. The record is from RNAcentral. Lineage: Bacteria; Pseudomonadati; Bacteroidota; Flavobacteriia; Flavobacteriales; Flavobacteriaceae.